CCUACGGGAGGCAGCAGUGAGGAAUAUUGGUCAAUGGACGAGAGUCUGAACCAGCCAAGUAGCGUGAAGGAUGACUGCCCUAUGGGUUGUAAACUUCUUUUAUGUGGGAAUAAAAUGUUCCACGUGUGGGAGUUUGUAGGUACCAUAUGAAUAAGGAUCGGCUAACUCCGUGCCAGCAGCCGCGGUAAUACGGAGGAUCCGGGCGUUAUCCGGAUUUAUUGGGUUUAAAGGGAGCGUAGGGGGAUUGUUAAGUGAGUUGUGAAAUUUUGCGGCUCAACCGUAAAAGUGCGGUGGAAACUGGCAGUCUUGAGUGCAGUAGAGGUAGGCGGAAUUCGUGGUGUAGCGGUGAAAUGCUUAGAUAUCACGAAGAACUCCGAUUGCGAAGGCAGCUCACUGGACUGCAACUGACGCUGAGGCUCGAAAGUGUGGGUAUCGAACAGGAUUAGAUACCCGGGUAGUC
Molecule: ribosomal RNA, 460 nt
Filed under: uncultured bacterium
Lineage: Bacteria
Description: partial 16S ribosomal RNA
Rfam family: Bacterial small subunit ribosomal RNA
Source: RNAcentral